UCCCUGGUGGCUCAGAUGGUAAAGCAUCUGCCUAUAAUGUGGGAGACCCGGGUUCGAUCCCUGGGUUGGGAA
RNAcentral lists this transfer RNA (72 nucleotides) under Bos taurus (domestic cattle). It matches the Rfam family "tRNA". Rfam says of the family: Transfer RNA (tRNA) molecules are approximately 80 nucleotides in length. Their secondary structure includes four short double-helical elements and three loops (D, anti-codon, and T loops). RNAcentral also lists the same sequence under 1 other name. The record is from Rfam by way of RNAcentral. Lineage: Eukaryota; Metazoa; Chordata; Mammalia; Artiodactyla; Bovidae.